UUGGUUAGCACGGUUUGGUUGGAUACCUGUUUCGGGCAGCGACGUCCGGCCGUGCCUUCCUAUUCAGUUUUUGGCACAAGUGCGUUUUACGCCUUGUCCUCGUCCCCGGUUUCCUGUGUUGAAUACCCACUCGACGGAAUUCGGAUGCCAAUCUUCCCUUGCCCGCCCAAGGCUUGCCGUUUGCUCGGCCUGGCCAAGGGUGAGCCCCCAAGCGAGAUCAGCGUUCCACAACGCACGCAUUUUGUGCGGUAGAUUCGUUGUGGCCCGCUAAUUUUUCGUUCGGGCUUCGGGAUGCGGAAUACUCUACGGGCACGGGGUCCCGUCCCCUAUUUGCCCACGAAUGCUAAAAACUCGCACGAAUGACGUCCGGCGUUGCGCUUUGCCCACGGGCGACGCAGCCCGGUGUCUGUGAGGAAUGCUACCUGGUUGAUCCUGCCCAGUAGUCAUAUGCUUGUCUCAAAGAUUAAGCCAUGCAUGUGUAAGUA
This 485-nucleotide unclassified non-coding RNA is filed under the name Chamaepentas longituba. RNAcentral's name for it is "partial external transcribed spacer". The stretch from base 420 to 485 matches the Rfam family "Eukaryotic small subunit ribosomal RNA", at positions 1 to 65 of the family's 1831-position model. Lineage: Eukaryota; Viridiplantae; Streptophyta; Magnoliopsida; Gentianales; Rubiaceae. The record is from RNAcentral.